Molecule: long non-coding RNA, 222 nt
Filed under: Gossypium barbadense (sea-island cotton)
Lineage: Eukaryota; Viridiplantae; Streptophyta; Magnoliopsida; Malvales; Malvaceae
Description: long non-coding RNA (GBAR_LNC005372)
Source: RNAcentral
CCAGAGACUCAGUGUGCCACACUUCUUUAAAAGAAAUACUUCAAACUGACCACGUGGUUGAAAAUAAUUUUUUGAAAUUCAACCUUUGAAAACCCAAUCCACAGCCGAGUUGUUGCAACCCAGGCUCUGAUACCACUAAAUGUAACACCCCAAACCCAGCUUGGAAGUUUGGCUCGAAUCUGGCGUGUCACAUUGAAGUGUUUUUCGAAAACCAUGUUUCCA